GGUUGAAGGUGGGUAACACUAACUGGAGGACCGAACCCACUGUCGUUGAAAAGCCAGGGGAUGACUUGUGGAUAGGGGUGAAAGGCUAAUCAAGCCUGGUGAUAGCUGGUUCUCCCCGAAAGCUAUUUAGGUAGCGCCUCGGACGAAUACCAUAGGGGGUAGAGCACUGUUUCGGCUAGGGGUCAUCCCGACUUACCAAACCGAUGCAAACUCCGAAUACCUAUGAGUACUAUCCGGGAGACAGACUGCGGGUGCUAACGUCCGUAGUCAAGAGGAAAACAAUCCAGACCGCCAGCUAAGGCCCCAAAAUCAUAGUUAAGUGGGAAACGAUGUGGGAAGGCAUAGACAGCUAGGAGGUUGGCUUAGAAGCAGCCACCCUUUAAAGAAAGCGUAAUAGCUCACUAGUCGAGUCGGCCUGCGCGGAAGAUGUAACGGGGCUAAAACUAUGUGCCGAAGCUGCGGAUGUAUACUUUGUAUACGUGGUAGGGGAGCGUUCUGUAAGCCGAUGAAGGUGUGUUGAGAAGCAUGCUGGAGGUAUCAGAAGUGCGAAUGCUGACGUGAGUAACGACAAAACGGGUGAAAAACCCGUUCGCCGAAAGACCAAGGGUUCCAGUCCAACGUUAAUCGGGGCUGGGUGAGUCGACCCCUAAGGCGAGGCCGAAAGGCGUAGUCGAUGGGAAAAUGGUUAAUAUUCCAUUACUUCUGUGUAAUGCGAUGAGAGGACGGAGAAGGCUAAAUCAGCCUGGCGUUGGUUGUCCAGGUGAAAGGAUGUAGGCAUGUAUCUUAGGCAAAUCCGGGGUACUCUAUGCUGAGAUCUGAUAGCAAGCUGUACUUGUACAGCGAAGUGGUUGAUGCCAUGCUUCCAGGAAAAGUCUCUAAGCUUCAGUUAC
This 890-nucleotide ribosomal RNA is filed under the name Acinetobacter baumannii. RNAcentral describes it as "partial 23S ribosomal RNA". It matches the Rfam family "Bacterial large subunit ribosomal RNA", at positions 743 to 1634 of the family's 2925-position model. Lineage: Bacteria; Pseudomonadati; Pseudomonadota; Gammaproteobacteria; Moraxellales; Moraxellaceae. The record is from RNAcentral.